UGUGAACUGCAGGACACAUGAACAUCGACAUUUUGACUGACAUAUUGCUGAGUCCAUGCAA
This 61-nucleotide ribosomal RNA is filed under the name Phlebotomus papatasi. RNAcentral describes it as "partial 5.8S ribosomal RNA". Lineage: Eukaryota; Metazoa; Arthropoda; Insecta; Diptera; Psychodidae. The record is from RNAcentral.